UGCCGAGUAGCAUAAUGUAGUGCAGAACCCUUUGAAGGUUUUGGUUGGGGGUUCAAGUCCCUCCUCGGCAACCA
Molecule: transfer RNA, 74 nt
Filed under: Prevotella sp.
Lineage: Bacteria; Pseudomonadati; Bacteroidota; Bacteroidia; Bacteroidales; Prevotellaceae
Description: tRNA-Gln
Rfam family: tRNA
About the family: Transfer RNA (tRNA) molecules are approximately 80 nucleotides in length. Their secondary structure includes four short double-helical elements and three loops (D, anti-codon, and T loops). Further hydrogen bonds mediate the characteristic L-shaped molecular structure. tRNAs have two regions of fundamental functional importance: the anti-codon, which is responsible for specific mRNA codon recognition, and the 3' end, to which the tRNAs corresponding amino acid is attached (by aminoacyl-tRNA synthetases). tRNAs cope with the degeneracy of the genetic code in two manners: having more than one tRNA (with a specific anti-codon) for a particular amino acid; and 'wobble' base-pairing, i.e. permitting non-standard base-pairing at the 3rd anti-codon position.
Source: RNAcentral